This 255-nucleotide ribosomal RNA is filed under the name uncultured Lactobacillus sp. RNAcentral's name for it is "partial 16S ribosomal RNA". It matches the Rfam family "Bacterial small subunit ribosomal RNA", at positions 109 to 356 of the family's 1533-position model. Lineage: Bacteria; Bacillati; Bacillota; Bacilli; Lactobacillales; Lactobacillaceae. The record is from RNAcentral.
AGUAACACGUGGGCAACCUGCCCUGAAGCGGGGGAUAACAUCUGGAAACAGGUGCUAAUACCGCAUAACAACGAAAACCACAUGGUUUUCGUUUCAAAGAUGGUUUCGGCUAUCACUUCAGGAUGGGCCCGCGGUGCAUUAGCUAGUUGGUAAGGUAACGGCUUACCAAGGGCGAUGAUGCAUAGCCGAGUUGAGAGACUGAUCGGCCACAAUGGAACUGAGACACGGUCCAUACUCCUACGGGAGACAGCAGUG